Lemur catta (Ring-tailed lemur) is the source of this 432-nucleotide long non-coding RNA. RefSeq lists it as uncharacterized. The transcript is spliced from 3 exons. The record is from RefSeq and is a predicted model, not a curated record. Lineage: Eukaryota; Metazoa; Chordata; Mammalia; Primates; Lemuridae.
GAAUCCCCACCCAGCUCUCUCACGCUUUGCCUUCAACAUUACGAGAUGACCGGAAUCUGACAUGGAGCACACCCAGAAUGAGCAGUGUGACCCGGAGCAAUGCCACCCCAGGAAAAUGGGAUGUCACAGCUGGAAUGAACCUUACAAUGGUUUAGUCCAACUUCCUCCUUAUAAAACGAAUAUAUGCCAAAGGUUUGGGUUUUCUGAGAUGCAAAUACAUGUUGCGGUAGCGGCAGAACUGAAUACUCCCUGGAAUUGGGGUUCAGGUCUAGACAUCUGGGAAUGGAAGAAAACUGGUCACCUGCCCAGCCUUGCCCUUCCUGUGAAUGAUCCUGCUUAUGUGUGUCCUGUUGGGUUAACGGUCCCUGGCCCCACCACCCUUGUGGAGAUAACACCCCAGGGCUGCCUCAUCUGAUUUUAUUUUUCCCAAGG